This 475-nucleotide ribosomal RNA is filed under the name uncultured bacterium. RNAcentral describes it as "partial 16S ribosomal RNA". It matches the Rfam family "Bacterial small subunit ribosomal RNA", at positions 31 to 507 of the family's 1533-position model. The record is from RNAcentral.
GAACGCUGGCGGCGUGCUUAACACAUGCAAGUCGAACGGGAAACCUUUUAUUGAAGCUUCGGCAGAUUUAGCUGGUUUCUAGUGGCGGACGGGUGAGUAACGCGUGGGUAACCUGCCUUAUACAGGGGGAUAACAGUCAGAAAUGGCUGCUAAUACCGCAUAAGCGCACAGAGCUGCAUGGCUCAGUGUGAAAAACUCCGGUGGUAUAAGAUGGACCCGCGUUGGAUUAGCUGGUUGGUGGGGUAACGGCCCACCAAGGCGACGAUCCAUAGCCGGCCUGGGAGGGUGAACCGCCACAAUUGGACUUGGGCCCGGCCCAGACUCCUACGGGAGGCAGCAGUGGGGAAUAUUGCACAAUGGGGGAAACCCUGAUGCAGCGACGCCGCGUGAAGGAAGAAGUAUCUCGGUAUGUAAACUUCUAUCAGCAGGGAAGAUAAUGACGGUACCUGACUAAGAAGCCCCAGCUAACUACGUG